UAAAAUGGGAGGUAAAUUUCUCCUAAGGCUAAAUAUUGGCGAGAGACCGAUAGCGAACAAGUACCGUGAGGGAAAGAUGAAAAGAAUUUUGAAAAGAAAGUCAAAUAGUACGUGAAAUUGUUGAAAGGGAAACGAUUGAAGUCAGUCGUACCGCGAAAAAUCAACCUUUUAAGUAUGAUCUUGUUGGCGUUUGAGAGCUUAACAGUCUCUACGUUUUUCAAGUUUGUUUUUUUUUGGCGUAUUUUUUCGUAUGGUAGGUCAACGUCAAUUUCUGUCGUUAUAAAAUGACUGGAGUAAUGUAGCUUCGAUCUCGUAUUGAAGUAUUAUAGACUCUGGUAGAUGUAAUGAACGGGAUUGAGGAUUGCAACGAAUACCUUUUAGGCUAUUCGUCUGAUCUCUAAUUGUUGCCUUGGUACCGAAAGCUUGCUUAUGGUCAUUGAGGUGGAUGGUUAAAAGGUUAGAACGGAUUAAAUUCGUUAAGGAUGUUGGCGUAAUGGCUUUAAACGACCCGUCUUGAAACACGGACCAAGGAG
Molecule: ribosomal RNA, 533 nt
Filed under: uncultured Glomus
Lineage: Eukaryota; Fungi; Glomeromycota; Glomeromycetes; Glomerales; Glomeraceae
Description: LSU rRNA
Rfam family: Eukaryotic large subunit ribosomal RNA
Source: RNAcentral